AAGUCGUAACAAGGUUUCCGUAGGUGAACCUGCGGAAGGAUCAUUAACGAAUAUCUAUGGCGUUGGUUGUAGCUGGCUCUUAGGAGCAUUUGUGCACGCCCGUCAUUUAUAUCAUCUUUCCACCUGUGAACUAUGUGUAGUCUGGAUACCUCUCGCUUUGGUGACAAGGCGGAUGCAAGGAUUGCUGCGUCGAAAGGCCAGCUCUCUUUGAAUUUCCAGGUCUAUGUUUUUUUACACACUCCAUUUGAAUGAUGUCGAAUGUAAUCAAUGGGCUUUCAAGCCUAUAAAAAACUAUACAACUUUCAGCAACGGAUCUCUUGGCUCUC
Molecule: unclassified non-coding RNA, 326 nt
Filed under: Psathyrella sulcatotuberculosa
Lineage: Eukaryota; Fungi; Basidiomycota; Agaricomycetes; Agaricales; Psathyrellaceae
Also listed under: 1 other name
Description: partial internal transcribed spacer region
Rfam family: Eukaryotic small subunit ribosomal RNA (bases 1-46)
Source: RNAcentral